GGGGGGGGGGGGGGGGGGGGCGGGGGCGGGGGGGGCGGGGGGGGGGGCGGGGGGGGGGGGCGGCGGAGGGGGGCGGCGGACGGGGGAGUGAGGCGUGGAUGACCGGCCUAUAGGACUGGGAUGACUUCGGGAAGCCGGAGCUCAUACCGGAUAAGAUAUUGAACCGCAUGGUUCAAUAGUGAAGGGCGGUUUUGCUGUCCCUGCUAGAUGGAUCCGCGCCGCAUGAGAGAGUUGGUAAGGUAACGGCUUACCCAGGCGACGAUGCGUAGCCGACCGGAGAGGGUGAUCGGCCACACUGGAACUGAGACCCGGUCCAGACUCCUACGGGAGGCAGCAGUAGGGAAUCUUCCGCAAUGGGCGAAAGCCUGACGGAGCAACGCCGCGUGAGUGAUGAAGGUCUUCGGAUCGUAAAACUCUGUUAUUAGGGAAGAACAAAUGUGUAAGUAACUAUGCACGUCUUGACGGUACCUAAUCAGAAAGCCACGGCUAACUACGUG
RNAcentral lists this ribosomal RNA (497 nucleotides) under uncultured bacterium. RNAcentral describes it as "partial 16S ribosomal RNA". The stretch from base 60 to 497 matches the Rfam family "Bacterial small subunit ribosomal RNA", at positions 39 to 507 of the family's 1533-position model. The record is from RNAcentral.